This 68-nucleotide transfer RNA is filed under the name Marmota monax (woodchuck). RNAcentral describes it as "tRNA.Ala". Lineage: Eukaryota; Metazoa; Chordata; Mammalia; Rodentia; Sciuridae. The record is from RNAcentral.
GGAUUGUGGCUCAGUGGUAGAGCGCUCGCCUAGCAUGUGCGGGGCCCAGGGUUCAAUCCUCCGCACCA